RNAcentral lists this ribosomal RNA (371 nucleotides) under uncultured bacterium. RNAcentral describes it as "bacterial SSU rRNA". It matches the Rfam family "Bacterial small subunit ribosomal RNA", at positions 137 to 507 of the family's 1533-position model. The record is from RNAcentral.
AGAGGGAUAGCCCAGAGAAAUUUGGAUUAAUACCCCAUAGUAUAAUUGAAUGGCAUCAUUUGAUUAUUAAAGUUCCAACGGUAUAAGAUGAGCAUGCGUCCCAUUAGCUAGUUGGUGUGGUAACGGCACACCAAGGCGACGAUGGUAGGGGUCCUGAGAGGGAGAUCCCCCACACUGGUACUGAGACACGGACCAGACUCCUACGGGAGGCAGCAGUGAGGAAUAUUGGUCAAUGGGCGCAAGCCUGAACCAGCCAUGCCGCGUGCAGGAUGACGGUCCUAUGGAUUGUAAACUGCUUUUGUACAGGAAGAAACACUCCCUCGUGAGGGAGCUUGACGGUACUGUAAGAAUAAGGAUCGGCUAACUCCGUG